RNAcentral lists this ribosomal RNA (491 nucleotides) under uncultured bacterium. RNAcentral describes it as "partial 16S ribosomal RNA". It matches the Rfam family "Bacterial small subunit ribosomal RNA", at positions 29 to 507 of the family's 1533-position model. The record is from RNAcentral.
GUGCACGCUGGCGGUAGGCCUAACACCUGCCCGUCGAACGGCAGCACAGUAAGAGCUUGCUCUUACGGGUGGCGAGUGGCGGACGGGUGAGGAAUACAUCGGAAUCUACUUUUUCGUGGGGGAUAACGUAGGGAAACUUACGCUAAUACCGCAUACGACCUACGGGUGAAAGCAGGGGAUCUUCGGACCUUGCGCGAUUGAAUGAGCCGAUGUCGGAUUAGCUAGUUGGCGGGGUAAAGGCCCACCAAGGCGACGAUCCGUAGCUGGUCUGAGAGGAUGAUCAGCCACACUGGAACUGAGACACGGUCCAGACUCCUACGGGAGGCAGCAGUGGGGAAUAUUGGGCAAUGGGCGCAAGCCUGAUCCAGCCAUACCGCGUGGGUGAAGAAGGCCUUCGGGUUGUAAAGCCCUUUUGUUGGGAAAGAAAAGCAGCAGGUUAAUACCCCGCUGUUCUGACGGUACCCAAAGAAUAAGCACCGGCUAACUUCGUG